CUUGCCAUUGCAACGAAAGACCAGGGGCAUUCCAGACAUUAGGCCAUUGAAUCUCAAAACCCACAACAAUGGUGCCCCUCUGCUUCAUUACAAACUGUUACAGUGAUUUUUGGGAGCGAGAGGGACUGAUUCGAUGGACGUGAAACAUGUUUGACUGCAUUCUCAAACCCCCACAAACCGCUUUACAAAUCCCAAAACCACCUCUCAUCGCGCCCAAAACCACCCAACCAAAAACCGCUUAGUCACACACCACUCUCUGGUCUGCAUCCGUACUGGGCCUGCUCCAUUGGCUGAGUUGGCAUUAAUGGCCACUACAGUGAAAAACUCCACAUUAUUGCUACAAAAGGGCUUCAAAUUGAGAAAACCCAACUUUUUUAGAGAGAGAAAACAGCUAUUUGCGACUAUUUGCGAUGGAAUGGGACCGGAAAACCGCUCCAUUUGACUCAGGGGACCCCAUGGUGUUUUUGGGGAAGGCUCAUGAAGAAAACCCAUUAUUGAUUUCUGGUUUUAAUGGUGGAAAAGGUGGUUUGUCCUCCUCUGUUACCAUAGACUUGAAGCUUGGAAGGUUGGGUGAUUGUGAAAGUGGUUUUGAUGAGAGGCUUACGAAGAAAACAGUGGUACAGGGUAAGAGAGGGAGAGGGGGAGUUUCAGGGGUUCCUCUUUGUCAAGUUGAGGGCUGUAAUGUUGAUCUCAGAGCUUCAAAGGAUUAUCAUAAGAGGCAUAAAGUUUGCGAUAUUCAUUCGAAGACGGCUAAGGUCAUCGUUAAGGGAAUUGAGCAGAGGUUUUGUCAACAGUGUAGCAGAUUUCAUUUGUUGGCGGAAUUUGAUGACGGUAAACGAAGUUGCCGUAAACGCCUCGCUGGCCACAAUGAGCGUCGUAGAAAACCACAGCUAGAAGCACGCUUAGGGAAAUCCGGGAGGUUGCUUCCAGCUUAUCCAGGUGACAGGUUCCAUGGGUCUUCCUUAAUUACAAGAACUUCCUUUAUAUGCCCUGAAAUUUUUCCUCAUGCCAUUGAUGUUGGCCUACCUGAACCCAAGUGUGGAAACGGCAACUGGUUCAAACCCAUAAAGACAGAGGAGGAUUCCAUUUAUAACCCUGAGGCCCAUAAGCCCAUCACCAAUAACCAAUCAAUCCUCAAGCCUCCUUUCUCUCUCUACAACUUCGGCAACUACAAGAACAACCCUUGCUUGCAAGACAUAACAAGUUUUGAUGCACCACCAACCAUUGAAGGCUUGUCCAGGGUCGUCGAUUCCGGUUGUGCUCUCUCUCUUCUGUCAUCUCAAUCAUGGAGCCCCUCAACUGACUCAUCAGGCAUUCCUAUAGCUCAACCGUUGAUCAAUUUAGGCGGUCAAGCACCUUCUCAAUUCAAUGUGAGUCAAUUCUCUGAUAUUGGUCAUUUUACCGACAAGAUGAUCUCUAUCAACUCUCAGACUUCGACGAGUGUGGGUUCGAGUAGGUUCUCUUCAUCAGGAAUGAACUCUAUGGAGGAUGAGCACUUGGGGGCUGUUUUAGUCUCAGACUCGAGUGAUGCUACUGAUUUUAAGGUGAAAACAGAGAUCAUGUUUCAUGAACAACAGAGGCAGGUGAAACAGGGGAAUGAGCUCUUCCACUGGUAUCCUGUUACUUGAAGUCGGUCUUCCAUGUUUCUCUCUUGGUUGCUUGCAGUGACACAGGAUAAAGUAUAUGAUGAUCCUUAUGAUUAUGAUAAGAAAUUGGUCAUGAGGUUCAUCACCGCUCAUUAUGGUGAUGAAGGAAGAGUAGGAUGCACAACUGAACUAAUGAUAUGCUUGGUUGGACCCCAUUGUCUCUCCAUCAGCAUACUGAAGGGACCAUGAUUUUAUGUGGCAGAUCAUGACUAAGCCAUUCUCCUUGUGGACUAUGUGAUUAGAGAAGAUUAAUGAAUAAAACAAAUUCUCCAUGAGACGUGGAGCUGCUUCACAAUGAGCUGCAACAAAAGAAAAUGAGGAACUGGAGUUGAGUUUUGAAGAUUAUCACCAAAGUGAGGCACUUGACCUUUCUGACCAUUGUGGGGUCAGGAUUGAAUUGCAUGCCAUAUAUGUGGCAUCCCUGCUCCCACAUGUAUUAGCACCUAUAUAGAAGUGUAUAUUGCUUUUCUUCUCAUUCUCAUUUUCCAUGGGAGAUGGGAAUUCAUGAUGUUCUAUUCGGUUAUUGUGAUCCUUUCUGUGCCUCUUGAUCUCCCUGUGAGCUGUCUUGAUGUAUUAUUUAUGCAUUCAUGUAUCAGUAGGUAUCAAUGAAGAUAUUAUACUGUGCUCUCUUGAGGAGGAUACGUCAGCUAUGCUCCCUAUGCAUGAUCCAUUAGCCAGUAUUGGUUGGAGGGUGGAGUACAUAUAGGAUGUGUCUGUACUAUUAGACAAACUGCAUGAUGACUCCUCUGUCGAACAAAUAUUGGAUGCUGAAUAUCCUACCAUGGAUAAGCUUCAGUACCCUAGAGAGCAUUGUAUACCCUGGAUUACCUUGUUGUUAUGUCAGCAUACAUUCAUAUUUAGUUGCAUGCUAACAUACUAUUAAUCUGAACCCCAUAUUUAAUUGUAUGCUAGCAUACUAUUAAUCUGAACCCCAGUAGCAAAUGCAUCUUCUAGUGCACUAUUUCUCUA
Molecule: RNA transcript, 2615 nt
Organism: Amborella trichopoda
Lineage: Eukaryota; Viridiplantae; Streptophyta; Magnoliopsida; Amborellales; Amborellaceae
Gene name: squamosa promoter-binding-like protein 13A
Source: RefSeq, a predicted model, not a curated record